ACAGCCGAGGAAAUUGAGGUUGCGGAAACACACGCACACACACAGUGAGACUGGAGCAGGAGUUCAAUAGGCAAAAGGAAAUAACAGCUUUCUGUCACAGAGAAGGGUCCCAAGCGGGUUGCCAAGUCGUGGUAAAAAAGUAUUUCCUGCCUCAGGAAUGGAAUCACUAACUGCCUUUCGGGGAAUUGGGCGACGACUUCUGGCUACUUCCUGCUGGAGAGGGGCGUGGUAUGGGAACAGCAGCUAGGGCUCAUCCUGGGGUUGAUUUAAGGGUCCCUGGUAGAAAAGCCGUUUUAUUUUUGGCCUCAUUUGCAGCACCAUUUAAAGCUUGAUGGUUUCCAGAUGCUCCAGGGGCCCUCUGCAGCACCCGAAAGCUAAGGGAUUAGGAAAGACAAGCUUGAGACUAAAGUUUGAUUUGGGAAACCUGUUAAAUAUGUUUAGAAUUUAAAACACUUGAUAUUAUGAAAUAGAAUUUUAGAUUACCAUAAGUUAUUUGUUUUGCCAAAAUAAUGAGUCAAAAAUUUGAAACAGCAAAAACCAUCCAUCAGUCUUUUGUAUUACAUGAAAAUCCUGUUCAAGAGAGAAAGUUAAAUUUCACCUUUGCAUUAGUUUGCUGUUAAUGUUAACCCUAAUUUUUAAUGAAACCUUACAGACAAUCCUAUUUAAUCUUAACAAGUUUGACUAUGAAGUGAGAUUUUCACAGACCUUUUAUAACUCUCUGCAAGUUUUGCUAAAGAGCAGAUUGUCAUCUUAAGAAAACCUUGGGCCAGGUGCGGCAGCUGAUGCCUGUAAUCCCAGCACUUUGGGAGGCCAAGGUGGCCAGAUCACGAGGUCAGGAGUUCGAGGCCAGCCUAACCAACAUUGAGACAUUCUGUCUCUACUAAAAACACAAAAAAUUAGCCAGGCGUAGUGGCGUGUGCCUGUAAUCCCAGCUACUAAGGAGGCUGAGUCAGGAGCAUCACUUGAACCCAGGAGGCGGAGGUUGCAGUGAGCCGACAUCAGACCAUUGCACUCCAGCCUGGGUGACAGAGCAAGACUCUGUCUCAAAGAAAGAAAGAAAGAAAGAAAGAAAGAAAGAAAGAAAGAAAAAACCAACAACCUUGUUGUGCUUUUAUUUUAGUGUUUAAUUUACAGAGAAAAAACAUAUAAUACCCUUUUGAAUUUAGUUAAUAUGUUCACACACAGAGUUUCUUUUGCAAGAUUUUUACAAUCUUUUCAUAAUUUGCUUAAACUCUUCACUUUAUUUUAUUUAAUUUAAGACAAUCCUUUAUUUCUAGGCAAAAUGUACAUUUCCACGCCUUUUUAUAUUCUUUAAAUAAAAACACCUUUUACUGGUUUUUACACACCUCGCAUGUAGAUUUAUAUUCAGUAGUUUCAAUUACAUGUCAUAAUGGUAACUCUUAGCAAUUUUCAACUUUAAUGUAAAACCCAGUAGGUUGUUUUAAUUAUGUGCUAGAUGUGGAUAAAGUUUGACUUCUUUUAGCAUAGUUAGGGGCAUGGUUGCUUCCAUAUGUUCCCAGGCCUUACCAAUUGUGAAGCAAGCAAGUUGACAGUUUUUAAAGGCUAAAGAAGUAGUUUACAACCUCAAAACAUUUAGCAAACCUGUAGUAUCUGACCUGCCUAAUUUAGACCACAUUUUUACACCUUGAAGACAUUUGUAUUUUACCAAUAAUUUCUAAAACUAUUUUUAUUUUUAAAGAUUAAAGUUACGUGAACUGAAAGGUACCACAGCUUUUACUUUUCCCUUAAAAAUAUUUGAUUUAAGCACUUACGUUCUUAGCCCAAUUAAUUAGAGCUCUUUUUAAAUAGACAUUACACUCAUAGCACAUAUAUAACCACACAGACCAACAGAAGAAGAUCCAGUUCUUAUAAGAUUUUUUAUUUGCUAAUUUCUCAAUUGGAUUAUUGGCCUCCUGGUGAGACCCUUUAAGAAAAGAGCUAGGAAUACAAUUUCCAGGGCCUAGCAGACAAACAUACCCAGAAGACAAAGACAGAUUUUGAGAGGUCCUUAUUCACCUCUAAUUCCAGGGGUUCCAUGAAGAAACCAGAUUUUUUCCAAAAUGGGAUUUGUGGUGUCUUUUCUGUUUUCCCAAGGAGUCCUAGGCCACCAGAAGUCAUUCUAUGGCCUUUCAUGCAUGUACCAAGAGUGGCAAGCAACAGUGGAAAAAGUAAUUCGGUUGACAGAAAAAAACCUUUUCCAGAAAAACAAGAUUUAUGAAGAGAAAAACAUAAAGGCCUUUUAAAUAUACCCAUUAAAAAGAAAAGCCUU
Pan troglodytes (chimpanzee) is the source of this 2269-nucleotide long non-coding RNA. RefSeq lists it as uncharacterized. The transcript has 3 exons. NCBI's taxonomy places the organism in Eukaryota, Metazoa, Chordata, Mammalia, Primates, Hominidae. The record is from RefSeq and is a predicted model, not a curated record.